RNAcentral lists this long non-coding RNA (818 nucleotides) under Homo sapiens (human). Its description in RNAcentral is "small nucleolar RNA host gene 17, transcript variant 12 (SNHG17)". The record is from RNAcentral. Lineage: Eukaryota; Metazoa; Chordata; Mammalia; Primates; Hominidae.
AGUCCUUCGCCGUCCCUCGCCGUCCUUCGCCAUCGCACGCCACCGCACCCCAUCUCUCGAAAUCUGCAGACAUCUUGAUUUUUCCCACGCUGUCUGUCAGGUCUCCGCCGCCACUCGACGCCAGGGCGCCGGGCCUUGUGGGCUGUGCUGCACCUCGGACGGCUUCGCACCAGCCAGCGCCCUCUCUCUCCUGCAGCACUCUGAUCUGCACCCCCUGAGGGGCUUCCACUGUCCGCGGGGUGAGAAUGCCCCUGGGAGUGUCACAUGACUGCCGCCCCAUGUGUGUGAGAGGCGUCCUCUGGGAGAGCAUGGAUCCUGAGGUCCCAGGAUUGUCAGCUGACCUCUGUCCUGUGUGCCCAGUGGCCCCAGGUGACGUGUCUUCAAGAAGAGGCUGAGCUGCGGUGCUUGUAAGGUCUCAGCCUUAGAUCCAAGGACAGUCCAAGGAAGUCCUAAGACCAUGGAGUUGGUGAUCUGGGAUCUGGGUUUGCUGAUAUUUCUCACCGUGAAUCUCUUGGUGGUGUUUGUGGGCACGAGAGGGGCAGAGAAUGGAGAGUGAGGCUACCACAUGAAGCGUCACCAGAGCUGCUCCCUGCUGCCUGCUCAGAGCACCCCGGAUCCACUGUUCAAUCUGCACAAGAUUCGGGGUCCAGACAUGGGAGACUUCAGCUGCCUCAGAGGACCGUGGACAGGGAAGGCCAGCCUCGCAUCCCUCUGUCCAUGCCUGGAAUGACUUUAAUAACCAAGAGUUUUAUUUUUGAAUUUGUAGCUGUCGUUCACUUUUUACCCACCCAUUCAAUAAACCUUACAGAAUUGCUCCA